This 778-nucleotide ribosomal RNA is filed under the name uncultured Neocallimastigales. Its description in RNAcentral is "partial large subunit ribosomal RNA". It matches the Rfam family "Eukaryotic large subunit ribosomal RNA", at positions 23 to 648 of the family's 3401-position model. The record is from RNAcentral. Lineage: Eukaryota; Fungi; Neocallimastigomycota; Neocallimastigomycetes; Neocallimastigales.
GAGACUCUGUGCGCGUGCAUAUCAAUAAGCGGAGGAAAAGAAACUAACAAGGAUUCCCUUAGUAACGGCGAGUGAAGCGGGAAGAGCUCAAAUUUGAAAUCUUCAAGGUUCUACCUUGACGAAUUGUAGUUUAUAGAAGUGUUUUCUGUUAGUAGAGUGGCAAAAGUUCUUUGGAAUAGGACAUCAUAGAGGGUGAGAAUCCCGUAUUUGGUCAUUCUUUCUAGCUUUGUGAUACACUUUCAACGAGUCGGAUUGUUUGGGAAUGCAGUCCAAAAUGGGUGGUAAAUUUCAUCUAAAGCUAAAUAUUGGCGAGAGACCGAUAGCGAACAAGUACCGUGAGGGAAAGAUGAAAAGAACUUUGAAAAGAGAGUUAAACAGUACGUGAAAUUGUCAAAAGGGAAGCGUUUGACACCAGUGUUGUUUUUCCGAAAAUCAAUUACGAAUGUUUUAUUUUUGAGAAGUUAUGACUUCAUCGGCUUGCUUCUCUCUUUAUGAAACUUUCUUAAUGCACUUUUCGGUUAACAAGUCAACAUCAAUUUCUUUUGUUGUAAAAGGGUAUGAGGAAGGUGGCUUUCUUUUCGGAGAAAGUGUUUAUAGCCUUGUAGCCUCUAGCAAUCGGAGAGAUUGAGGUCUGCAGCGUAGAUCCUUCGGGGUUAGAUACAGUUUGUGCUAAGUUAUAGCUUUUCAUAGACAACUUGUUGACUAUAUUUAGUCUUGUAGGCUUACUCGCUUAUGCUAUUUUACCUACGCUUAGGAUGUUGACGAUCAGCUGAGCGCG